This 691-nucleotide long non-coding RNA is filed under the name Homo sapiens (human). Its description in RNAcentral is "long intergenic non-protein coding RNA 1018". The record is from RNAcentral. Lineage: Eukaryota; Metazoa; Chordata; Mammalia; Primates; Hominidae.
CCACCGACGAGACGGACUCAGGAGGGGCGAACGCUCCUGGGAAAUCCAGAAACUCUAGAGAAGCUUGUUUGCCAAACCUUGCUUUGGGCGGUGGAGACAGAAUAUCAUGUCCCAGAUCAGCGUGUGGUGACUGUGGAGGCAUUUACACACAGCACACUCCAGCUCUGCCACUGGGCCGGCUGAGGUGGCUGCGGUACACGGCGCCCAUCCUGAGCCCCAGGUUCCUCACAUGUCAACAGCAUGAAAAGUGCCUCUAAGACAUCCACAGGUGUGCAGUGUUAAAGCAGGAUUCUGCCAUGAUUGCCACCUCUGGAGACGUCACAGCCAGCACAGCCAUGACCAGGGAUGAACUUGGCCAUUGUCCAGCAGCACCAUGGGAGGACCAGCUGCUGUAAGUGAAGGUCAUCAUCCAUCUGAUUUGCUGGCUUUUUGCAACUACUGCGGUGGAAGUCUUAGAGUAGCCACCUUCUCUGUACUCAGACCUUCACUUCGCCAGAUGUCAGCACAGCAGUGUCAGCAGCUUCGUCAAACACAAACACCACCACCUCUCUGGAUCAGAAGCACAUGGAAAGCCCACCUUGCAAGAAGACCCAGCUAUUCCAAAAGUACCCAUAUCCCUGUAGCAUCCUCUUAGCUGAAUGUCUCUACUCCUUAAACUUGUACCACUUUGAAGAGUAAAAAUUUAAAUUCA